RNAcentral lists this signal recognition particle RNA (299 nucleotides) under Vombatus ursinus (common wombat). Its description in RNAcentral is "Metazoan signal recognition particle RNA (ENSVURG00010007634.1)". It matches the Rfam family "Metazoan signal recognition particle RNA". From Rfam's summary of the family: The signal recognition particle (SRP) is a universally conserved ribonucleoprotein. It is involved in the co-translational targeting of proteins to membranes. Lineage: Eukaryota; Metazoa; Chordata; Mammalia; Diprotodontia; Vombatidae. The record is from RNAcentral.
ACCAGGCAUGGUGGUGCAUACCUGUAAUCCCAGCCCCUGAUAGGUUGAUGAGGCAGGCGGAUCUCUUGAGCUCAGAUGUUCUGUGCUGCAAUGGGGUAAGCCAAUCAGGUGUACAGACUAAGCUUAGCAUCAAUAUGGUGAGCCACUAGGACCAGGGGUCCACCAGAUUGCCUAAGGAGGGGGCUAACCCAGCUUGGAAACAGAGCAGGUCAAUGCUCCUAUGGCAGUCAGUAGUGGGAUCAGUCUUAUGAGUAGCCCCUGUCCUUCUAGCCUGGGAGAGAAGGGAAGACACAGUCUUA